Beta vulgaris subsp. vulgaris (sugar beet) is the source of this 142-nucleotide long non-coding RNA. RefSeq lists it as uncharacterized. Lineage: Eukaryota; Viridiplantae; Streptophyta; Magnoliopsida; Caryophyllales; Amaranthaceae. The record is from RefSeq and is a predicted model, not a curated record. The transcript has 3 exons.
GUGAACAGCAACCAGGAUCUAUACCUGUAGUUGUUGAAGAGUCCACCACAGCAGCUUCUACUGAAAAUGCUUCUGAUUCCACAACAUCUGAGAACAGGCAACCUACUACUGAACCAGAAACAACUCCACCUAGUACUGACAU